Molecule: RNA transcript, 3361 nt
Organism: Leptopilina boulardi
Lineage: Eukaryota; Metazoa; Arthropoda; Insecta; Hymenoptera; Figitidae
Gene name: spermine oxidase-like
Exons: 14
Source: RefSeq, a predicted model, not a curated record
UAGGUUAUGUGAAUUGUUUUGAUUUUUGUGUGUGCACCGCACACGACAGUAUCCGCACAAAACGGAGUUUUUUAAAAUUAAUUUAUUAAAAUGUUUUUAAUCUAUAUUGUUUUUAUGUAAUUAUUUGAUUUUGUUCUAGUUUUUUAAAAAUUUUAUCGUAAUCUACAAAUUUAUUUUAAAGUAUCGCAAGCCACAGUAUUUUAUUAUAAAUAAUUAAGCUAUUAAUAUAGAAAGAAUUAUGUCACAAUCGAGAAUUAUAAUUAUUGGAGCUGGAGCAGCUGGAAUAGCAGCAGCUUGUCGAUUAAUUGAAAAAGGUUUUCAAAAUGUAACAAUUCUUGAAGCAAAAAAUCGCAUAGGUGGUAGAAUUCAUACCAUUAAUUUUGGUGAUCACGUAAUCGAUUUAGGCGCACAAUGGGUACAUGGUGAAAAUAUUGUUUUUGAUCUAGCGAAUCCUCACAAUUUAUUGGAGUCUGAUUAUGUUAGAGAUUAUGAAAAAAAUUUAUUUGCUGACGCUCAUGGGAAUAUAAUUUCUCCAAAUGAAAGUGGAAAUGCAAUUGCAAUUUAUUUCAAAUUAUGCGAAUGGGAUGAAAUUGAUCUCAAGGAAUGGAAUGGUUCUUAUGGAGAAUUUUUUAAAGAAAAAUUUUACAAAGAAUUUCAAGAAAAUCGUUUUACAAGUAAUGAAAGAGCACAACAAUUUUUGGAAUGGAUGGAAAAAUACGAUAAUCAUAUGCAAUGCAGUGAUUCAUUAAUCCAAGUUUCUGCAAAAAGAUUACGAGAAUAUGAAACAUGCGAUGGAAGUCCAUCGAUGAAUUGGAAAACAAAAGGUUUCAAAACAGUAUUAGAUUUAUUAAUGAAAAGUUAUCCUUCUGAAGAAAAUAAAUUGCCUAUUAUGAGUAAAAUAAUUUUUAAUAAAGAAGUCUCAAAUAUCAAUUAUACUUCAAAUAAUGAAAUUGUAAUUUCAAUUAGAGAUGGAACAAAAUUUGAAGCUUCUCAUGUGAUAUUUACACCAUCGUUGGGCGUUUUAAAAAAUGAAUAUAAAACAUUGUUCAAUCCUUCUUUACCUGAAGCAAAGAGAAAUGCCAUUGAAGGAUUUAGCUUUGGAGCCGUAAAUAAAUUCUUUCUUGAAUUUUCUCAUCGUUGGUGGCCUGAAGAAACGAGUGGUUUAUCAUUUCUUUGGUCCGAUGAAAAUAAACGAGAAUUUUUAACAACCUGGGGACAAGAAAUGUCUUGGUUGUGUGAUAUUUUUAUAUUUUUUGUAGUUGAAAAUCAUAAAAGUGUUCUGUGCGGCUGGACAUUUGGUGAGGCAGCUAGAUUGACUGAAAAACUAACAGAUGUUGAUAUUUCUAAUGGAUUGCACAUUUUGUUGAAAACAUUUUAUGGAAAAACUUACGAUAUACCAAAGGCUGUGAAUUUUACUCGCUCAACAUGGUUUACGGAUAAACAUAUUCGUGGUGGUUAUUCAUUUCGAAGUAUGAAAACAGAGCAAAUGGGAAUAAAUUCUGAAGAUUUGUCGGACCCAAUAACAACAGAUUCAUAUAAACCUAUAAUUUUGUUUGCUGGAGAAGCAACACAUCAGCGAUUUUUUUCAACUGUCCAUGGAGCAAUUGAAACAGGAUUUCGUGAAGCUGAUCGUCUAAUAGAAUAUUUUAGAAUACGUGACGAUUCGAGGCUAAGAAGGCAAAUAUUUGAGUCACAAGAAUCGUCGGAAACGACAGAAUUGGUCAUCAUUGGUGCAGGAAUUUCAGGGUUAGCUGCGGCAAUGACUUUAGAAAUGGAGGGAUUUGACAAUUAUAUUUUAUUCGAAGCAAUGGAUAGAGUUGGAGGUAGAAUACAUACCACUUAUUGGAACGAUGAUGCAAUUGAAUAUGGAGCUCAAUUUUUGCAUGGCGAUAAAAGUAAACUUGGACAAUAUUGUCAUCAAUUAAAUCUUCUAUCUGAUGAUCAUUCAGGUGAAGCCGAAGGUAUUUACAUUAGGGACGAUGGACUCGAAAUUGAAUCUCAUCUUGUGAUAAAAGUCGAUGAUUUUGUACGAUAUACACUUGAGGAAUGUGAGAAAUUUGCAUAUGACAAUCAAAUUCUACAACCAGAGAUUCAUGAAAGUAUCGGUAAAAUUUUACGAACACGAUUUAACAAAUAUUUAAAAGCCACUAAUGACACUGAGGAAAAUAAAAGUAUUAUGAAAGAAUUAUUUGAUUGGAAUAUCAAAUUUUUAAAUAUUGAUAAUUCUUGUUUGUCCGUUGAUGAAUUAUCCGUUAAAGGAUGGGGAAAUUUUCAGUUUGUUGGAGGUCAAGAGCAUUCAAUUUUCAAAUCUAAUUAUAGUUCUAUAACAAAAAUAAUUGCCGAUAAUUUAAAUAAAAAUAAUUUAAGACUUGAGAGUCCAGUGGAAAAAGUUGAAUGGAGAGAUAAAUUGACGAAGGAAGAAAAUUUAAAAUCAAUUCUUAUUACUUUAAAUGAUAAUAAAAAAAUUUAUGCCAAUUGUGUGAUUAUAACAUGUCCACUUGGAUUUCUAAAGGAAAAUUAUAAAAAAAUGUUUCAUCCACCAUUGCCAAAUUAUUUAUGUCGUGGUAUUGAGAGUCUUGGUUUUGGAUUGAUUAAUAAAAUUUUUCUCGAAUUUAAUGAAAUUUGGUGGAAAAUUGGAACGAGGGGAUUUCAAUUUAUUUGGCAACGAGAAAAUCAGAAUUUACAUUUAAAUGAUAAAUUACCCAUGUGGACAAGGGAUUUAACUGGAUUUGAUAUUAUAAAAGAGAAAAAAAAUGGAAUUUUUCUUGGAUGGAUCGGUGGACGUGGUGCUUAUAUUAUUGAAACAUUGAGCGAGCAACAAAUCGCCGAAGAUUGUUUAAAAUUGCUCAAAUAUUUUUUAAAAAAUAAUAAUAUACCUUUUCCAAGAAGAUGUUUGAGAACUCGUUGGUAUGAUAAUAAAUUUGUAAGAGGUGCCUACAGUCAUAUCACAACUAAAUGUGAUAAAAAUAGAAUUUCAUGUGGUACUUUAAGUGAACCUGUUUGGGGUUCGAUUUCAGAUAAUCAUGAAAUCAAGCGUGUGCCAAUAAUAAUGUUAGCGGGCGAGGGAACACAUGAGCAUUUUUAUUCCACGACUCACGGAGCAUAUGAUACCGGAGUAAAACAGGCAAAAAUAUUUUUAAAACAUCAUCAAAGCAAAUAAUUCUGUGAUUAGCAAAUUUUUAGACACAAAUGUUGUUUUACGCAACUAAAAUUAAUUGGAACAUUGAAUAAAGAGAAUUCUAAAAUAAAUGAGGUUGAAAGAGAGAUUUGUGUUCAUCUUUUAAAACCCCCAAGGAACAAGUGUAAAUUACAUGAUCUGCCAAAUAUAAAUCACCAUUUGCAGUUUUUACUUUAACUUUUC